Molecule: non-coding RNA, 1379 nt
Organism: Vicugna pacos (alpaca)
Lineage: Eukaryota; Metazoa; Chordata; Mammalia; Artiodactyla; Camelidae
Source: RefSeq, a predicted model, not a curated record
CGCACACUCCCCUGAGAUCGCUCUAUACCUGACGUGAAGCCUGUUCUCUUCUUGCCUCUGAGCCCAGGGAGUGGGGCCACGCCAUCGCCUCCUAAAUAGCUUUGCGCUCCUUGAGACCCCGAAUCUUCGCUGGGCGAGAGACUCUCCCUCCUUGUGUCACCCGUUCCACACGACUUUUUUCCUUUGGGUGGCAUGGAGCAAGAGCUCAGGCAUCUGUGCUCUGGGGAGUUGAAAACUGGACAGUAAGAAUAAACUCUAAGGAUCGAGGGGAGCUCCAGGGAGUUGUAUAAGCAGUGAGUAGGGGAAGGGCCAAGAGCCCUCACUGACUGGUGUCCUGGUUUGGAAAAUGGGAUUAUUUCCAGCCAAGCAGGAGUGAUGGAGGAUCAACUGGUAUGUACAGAGUGUGGGCAAUAAGGACCAUACAGGAUGAUGUCCCAUGAAUACAACUGUUAAGAAUUCAUCUCACUCAUUAUACUUGCCUGGUUAAUCAUGAGCUUCUUCUCAUACCUGCCCGAGGAAGACACAACUGACUCUGGUCUGGCAAGGCUGGUAGAGAAAUGACCUAAUGAAAAUGGCAGCUUUCAUAUCGAAAUGCAGAGUAUAUGGCUACAUCAAAAAAUUUUUUUUCAAUAAAUCCCAGGAAGAAACUAGGUCAGUACCUACAGUUCCCCUAUUUCCUAUUUGUUAAAUAGUAGGCAGACAGAAGAGGCCUGAGGGGAGACUGGCUGAUUACCCGAACUACUACAUCAUGAAAAUGCAGAGAACUUCUUGGGAGAGUCCCAAAGUUCAGUCUUGGGUAGGAAGACAGAACCUAGUUAGAGCUGCUGAAGAGGAAAAGAAGCUACCAAGCUACUGUCAGAGGACAGAAACAACAAACGCUUCACAGCACAGCAGUCUCACAGCGACCUCAGGAGGAAAUCUGAACCACUGCACUCCUGCGGCGUCCACCUCUAGACAGACUCUGGGAGGCCCCAUUCCUCUUGCAGCUGCCACUGCUCCUCUGCACCAAACUAUCCUGUGUGUGUCAGGAGUGUGGGGAGUGGGGACAGGGAGCCAGGACACACUGACUUCCCCAUUGGCCCCAUCACCUAUGAAUGUCUCCUACUAGCUCCACUGCCACCUACUGCCUCCCCAAAGCUGCCGCCAGACUCACCUGGACUGGCUCCUCCAAGACUCCACUGCAAAUAGGACAGAUAAGGUCUUCGUCAACAUCCCCCUGGAAACGGGUUACAUCAUACCCCAUGUCUCAUCACUGAAACCCAGGUCCUGGAAGGAACAACAGAGGAAAAAGAGGCCAGUUCAGAAGAUCAGACAUGUGCCAACUUGAUCUCAUUGCCAAGAUCCAUUCAUUUGUCCAAUAAAUAUUUACUGAGAGCUUA